Molecule: ribosomal RNA, 464 nt
Filed under: Streptococcus vestibularis
Lineage: Bacteria; Bacillati; Bacillota; Bacilli; Lactobacillales; Streptococcaceae
Description: bacterial SSU rRNA
Rfam family: Bacterial small subunit ribosomal RNA
Source: RNAcentral
GACGAACGCUGGCGGCGUGCCUAAUACAUGCAAGUAGAACGCUGAAGAGAGAAGCUUGCUCUUCUUGAAUGAGUUGCGAACGGGUGAGUAACGCGUAGGUAACCUGCCUUGUAGCGGGGGAUAACUAUUGGAAACGAUAGCUAAUACCGCAUAACAAUGGGUGACACAUGUCAUUUAUUUGAAAGGGGCAAUUGCUCCACUACAAGAUGGACCUGCGUUGUAUUAGCUAGUAGGUGAGGUAACGGCUCACCUAGGCGACGAUACAUAGCCGACCUGAGAGGGUGAUCGGCCACACUGGGACUGAGACACGGCCCAGACUCCUACGGGAGGCAGCAGUAGGGAAUCUUCGGCAAUGGGGGCAACCCUGACCGAGCAACGCCGCGUGAGUGAAGAAGGUUUUCGGAUCGUAAAGCUCUGUUGUAAGUCAAGAACGAGUGUGAGAGUGGAAAGUUCACACUGUGACG